RNAcentral lists this ribosomal RNA (490 nucleotides) under uncultured bacterium. RNAcentral's name for it is "partial 16S ribosomal RNA". It matches the Rfam family "Bacterial small subunit ribosomal RNA", at positions 29 to 507 of the family's 1533-position model. The record is from RNAcentral.
AGUGAACGCUGGCGGCAGGCCUAAUACAUGCAAGUCGAACGGCAGCACAGUGGAGCUUGCUCCAUGGGUGGCGAGUGGCGGACGGGUGAGGAAUACAUGGGAAUCUGCCCAGUCGUGGGGGAUAACGUAGGGAAACUUACGCUAAUACCGCAUGCGCCCUUCGGGUGAAAGCCGGGGACCUUCGGGCCUGGCGCGAUUGGAUGAGCCCAUGUUCGAUUAGCUAGUUGGCGGGGUAAAGGCCCACCAAGGCGACGAUCGAUAGCUGGUCUGAGAGGAUGAUCAGCCACACUGGGACUGAGACACGGCCCAGACUCCUACGGGAGGCAGCAGUAGGGAAUAUUGGACAAUGGGCGCAAGCCUGAUCCAGCCAUGCCGCGUGAGUGAAGAAGGCCCUCGGGUUGUAAAGCUCUUUUGUCCGGGAAGAAAAGCAUCGGGCUAAUACCUCGGUGUUCUGACGGUACCGGAAGAAUAAGCACCGGCUAACUUCGUG